Molecule: non-coding RNA, 3389 nt
Organism: Nothobranchius furzeri (turquoise killifish)
Lineage: Eukaryota; Metazoa; Chordata; Actinopteri; Cyprinodontiformes; Nothobranchiidae
Source: RefSeq, a predicted model, not a curated record
CAUACUGAAUAAGUAUUAAAAACUACAAUAAAUGGAUGGUAAAAUAAUCUAUAGAUUCAGGAGAAAAAUGGCUGAAGGAAAGAAACUGUUCUUGUGUCUGGUAGUUUUUGUGUACAGCUACGCAUCCAUAAAUGAUUAUUUUUCAGUGGGUUGGAUUUAAAUUGGUAUAAAAAACAUUGAAAAAAACCGGUUCAAACAAGACUAUGCGAUCCCCGGUAAGUAAUAUUAUAUUUAUGUAUUUUAGGUCACUGCCAAGCUGAGCUUAGAUUUUAACAUGUACUGUUUAACCAUGAAAUUUAAAUGUGAUAGGGUAAAACCCAGUGCAUUUAACAUAAUGCUGCACUUUAGAAAAUGGGUUGAAAUAUAACAUGUUGUUUGGAGCUGGGUUCCGACUAUCGGCUUGUGUAGCUCUCGGGAGACCUCUGUUUUCCACCCGGUUCUCCCCUCCCCGCAGCUCGGCGCAUCUCUGUCUGAUCGCGGCUUCUGUCUGCUGCGCGGUCUGCCGACUUGUGGAGCUCUGGGAUGGAAACCUUUCCACCCGGUUCUCCCCAGCGGCAGCUCUGCGCAUCUCAGAUCGCAGCGGCGCUUGUCUGCCGUGCGGCUGCCGGCUUGUGGCGGUUUUACCCAGCGGUCAGCCCGACGUAUCUCUGGCUCAGAAGCUCUGGUGUUGUGCACAGUUAACUCCGGUUGUAGCUAGGUUGCUACUUCUGUUAGCUUAGCUCCCACCUCCGCGUUAGCUUCAGGUUAGCUUGUAGCUAGUUCGACUGGGUGUUGUCAGUUGAUCCCAGCCUUACAGCCCCACCCUCAGCUCCACCUCUCUCCCUUUUUGUGGAAUUGUCUGGGCUUGGCGGAACCUGUGACACGGUCAAAAUGGCGGUGGUGGCCACCUCCCAUUUUUCUUCAAAAACGUGUUAUUGGAGUCUAUGGAAACCCACUGUCCAAUAUUUAUAUGUCGAUGGUCAAAAAGGCUGAAUCUCUAUUAGUUUUUAUUCACAGUUUGGCCCUCCCCAUUUGCUGGCAUGGUACAUUCCUAUUGGAUCAGUAGUACAUGGAAAUGUGUAGAGACCUGUGUGCAUAACAAAUCUCAUCUUCAAUGAAUAAUAUGUGAAAAUCAUAGGUGGUGGCUUUAUCUAGUCCGGUGUUUCCCAACCCUGCUGUCCUCAGGGCACACUGUCCUGCAUGUUUGUUUUCCAUGUUGCCUUUUUAACUGCUGCCACACACCUGACUUAAAGGAAUAAGCGAUUAACAGGCAUCUGCAGCAUGUGAUGUCCUCCUGAGGAGCCAACGUAAAUCAAAUGUGCCGAAGCAGAGACAUGGAAAACAUUUAGGUUUGUGCACGCAUGCGCGAUAUUAGCAAUCCAGCUCAGCAUUCAAAUCACAACCACCGGAGAAAUAACACAUCAUGACGAGCCGGCAACGGAGCUCAAAGGUUUGGGAGCAUUUUACGAAAACAAAUGAGAAGCAAGUAGAGUUCAAACUCUGUAAGGUGACACUAUCAUAGGUCUAGGAACAACUGUAUGUUAUUAUGUUUAGAACAUGUUUGAAUGUCACAUAUUUGCUCUAAUGUUACAAACGAUAAGGAUUUAUUUUAUGUCGCUACGUUACAGUGCUAAAAAAAUCGCUCUUCUUCUACAAUGGAUGAGUUUCUUACAAUGCCAACCACGUGCACACCUCAACAAGCCAACGUCCUGACCAUUUUGAACAUGCUGGUAACGGACAUGAGACCCCUGUCCGUGGUCAGGGAUCAAGGUUUUAAAGAUGUGAUCAAGAAGUUCAACCCAGAAUACUAUGAAAACUAUCUACCAGACCGAUCACAUUUCACCACCAUGAUGGAGGAGAAAUACGAGACGACCUUCCAGAAGGUAAUGCAGGCCCUCAGAGCUGUGAAUGGUUCCCUGACUGCUGGCUUGUGAACCAGCCGUGCUACAGAGGCGUACCUUGGUGUGUCCUGCCAUUGUCUGAGCAACGAUUGGAACAUGAAAAGCUUCAACCUUUCCACCAUGUCUCUAGAGGAGAGGCUCACUGGUACAAAUAUAAUGACUUGGAUUGAAGAGGUUUUAGCUUAGUUAGAAAUCGUGCCUGUUAAAAUUAAAGCAGUAGUUCAUGAGAGUGGGUCUAAUGUGGUAGCAGCAAUGAGACCGCUUGAAGAGAAACAUGCCUGGGCCUCUAUCCGCUGUGCUGGACACACUCUCCAGCUCCUAAUGAACACUGCUCUCAAAGAAACCUGCAUCAGCAGAGCAUUAUGUGCUGCUAGGCAGCUAGUGGAGCACUUCAACAAAGUUGAGCUGGCAAGUACAAAGCUGAAGAUGAAACGGGAGCAAAUGAAUGUGAAAAAAAUAUUCACUGAUCCAAGAUGUCAGCACAAGAUGGAACAGUACAUUCCACAUGAUAGACAGACUCCUCGAACAGCGAUGGCCUCUCACUGCCACUCUUUCAGAUCCUGAGGUGAAACCAAGAGGGAAGCAGUACAUCGACUUGAAGCCAGAGAAGUGCUUGAUGAACUCAAGAAAGUGUUGGUGCCUUUUGAGACCGCUUCUGUUUACCUUAGUGGUCAACAGUACACAACCAUUUCAGGUCUUCCACAGUUCAUCGAAGGUCUGACACGGUCUGUAAACUACAGCCAAUUUCAGACAAGCUCAGGGAAAUCUUCCAGUGCAGAUGCAGAAAAAGGGAUAAAGCAGAGAUGGGGAAGCAUCUGUACAGUUUUUGAAGGGAAAGAAAACAUGGUUGUUCUUGCAGCUGCCUUGGACCCCAGACACAAAAAGCUAACAUUUUUGGCUCCUGAAGAUGUCAUCAGAGUGCAAGGGACCAUUGAAGUGCUUGCUGUCAAAGAAGAAGCAAAAGCUGGAACAGAUGAGCUUACACAACUGCAGCGGGCUGAUGAUUCAGGUGUAGUUGAGAAGUCUGCUCUGGAUGCUCUCCUUCAGUCCGAUACAGAAAGUGAUGAUGAGAGUGAGCAGGAGGAGGAAGAUGCCCAGGACAGAAGGGUCCAGAUAGUGAGAGGGGAAGUAAAGGUGUAUCUUUGAGAAGCUGCAAUUUCUGAGAGAGAUGAUCCUCUCAAAUGGUGAAGUGAAAAUGAAGGCUGUUUCUCCACACUUUCUAAGCUGGCUAAAUCUUUUCUGUGCAUCCCUGCCACUUCCACCCCAUCUGAGCGGAUCUUCUCUGCAGCUGGGAGCAUCUGCUCUCAUGUUAAACAUGUUAAAAUGCUAUCUUUCCUGACUGUAAACCAGAACCUUGUGUGACUAUUUUAGCAGGAUACAUUUCAGUUUGUGAGCACAAGUCAUUUUUUAGUUUUAGUUUUAGUUGCUUACACCCAUUUGACAUUGUAGCACUUGUAUUAACAUGUUACAACAACAAAGUUAAUUAAAAGUUGUUUGAUAAGCAAUAAA